This 593-nucleotide ribosomal RNA is filed under the name Aureobasidium pullulans. RNAcentral's name for it is "eukaryotic LSU rRNA". It matches the Rfam family "Eukaryotic large subunit ribosomal RNA", at positions 50 to 656 of the family's 3401-position model. The record is from RNAcentral. Lineage: Eukaryota; Fungi; Ascomycota; Dothideomycetes; Dothideales; Saccotheciaceae.
UAGGAGGAAAAGAAACCAACAGGGAUUGCCCUAGUAACGGCGAGUGAAGCGGCAACAGCUCAAAUUUGAAAGCUUAGCCUUCGGGUUCGCAUUUGUAAUUUGUAGAGGAUGAUUUGGGGAAGCCGCCUGUCUAAGUUCCUUGGAACAGGACGUCAUAGAGGGUGAGAAUCCCGUAUGUGACAGGAAAUGGCACCCUAUGUAAAUCUCCUUCGACGAGUCGAGUUGUUUGGGAAUGCAGCUCUAAAUGGGAGGUAAAUUUCUUCUAAAGCUAAAUAUUGGCGAGAGACCGAUAGCGCACAAGUAGAGUGAUCGAAAGAUGAAAAGCACUUUGGAAAGAGAGUUAAAAAGCACGUGAAAUUGUUGAAAGGGAAGCGCUUGCAAUCAGACUUGUUUAAACUGUUCGGCCGGUCUUCUGACCGGUUUACUCAGUUUGGACAGGCCAGCAUCAGUUUCGGCGGCCGGAUAAAGGCUCUGGGAAUGUGGCCUCCACUUCGGUGGAGGUGUUAUAGCCCAGGGUGUAAUACGGCCAGCCGGGACUGAGGUCCGCGCUUCGGCUAGGAUGCUGGCGUAAUGGUUGUAAGCGACCCGUCUGA